Molecule: ribosomal RNA, 376 nt
Filed under: uncultured Acidobacteriota bacterium
Lineage: Bacteria; Pseudomonadati; Acidobacteriota
Description: bacterial SSU rRNA
Rfam family: Bacterial small subunit ribosomal RNA
Source: RNAcentral
UAAUACGGAGGGGGCAAGCGUUGUUCGGAAUCACUGGGCGUAAAGGGUCCGUAGGCGGCCCCAUAAGUCGGAGGUGAAAGCCCUAGGCUCAACCUAGGAAUUGCCUUCGAAACUGUAGGGCUAGAGUCCGGUAGAGGGAGACGGAAUUCCCGGUGUAGCGAUGAAAUGCGUAGAUAUCGGGAGGAACACCUGUGGCGAAGGCGGUCUCCUGGGCCGGUACUGACGCUGAGGGACGAAAGCGUGGGGAGCAAACAGGAUUAGAUACCCUGGUAGUCCACGCCCUAAACGAUGGGCACUUGGUGUGGCGGUCGUUCAGGCUGCCGUGCCGUAGCUAACGUGAUAAGUGCCCCGCCUGGGGAGUACGGUCGCAAGGCUG